CCUACGGGUGGCAGCAGUGGGGAAUUUUGCGCAAUGCUCGCAAGUGUGACGCAGCGAUGCCGCGUGCAUGACGAAGGCCUUCUGGUCGUAAAGUUCUUUUGACAGGGAAGAAAAUGCCUAUAAGUAACUGUGUCUGUAUUGACGGUACCUGUAUAAGCAGCCCCGGCUAACUCCGUGCCAGCAGCCGCGGUAAUACGGAGGGGGCGAGCGUUGUUCGGAGUGACUGGGCGUAAAGGGCACGUAGGCGGUGUUGUAAGUCAUUAGUCAAAGACUAGAGCUCAACUUUAGUAAGGCUAGUGAUACUAUAAUACUAGAGAAUCAGAGAGGAUGGCAGAAUUCCUGGUGUAGCGGUGAAAUGCGUAGAGAUCAGGAGGAAUACCGUUAGCGAAGGCGGCAAUCUAGCUGGAAACUGACGCUGAGGUGCGAAAGCGUGGGUAGCAAACAGGAUUAGAUACCCGGGUAGUC
This 465-nucleotide ribosomal RNA is filed under the name uncultured bacterium. Its description in RNAcentral is "partial 16S ribosomal RNA". It matches the Rfam family "Bacterial small subunit ribosomal RNA", at positions 338 to 795 of the family's 1533-position model. The record is from RNAcentral.